UGGAAGUAAAAGUCGUAACAAGGUCUCCGUUGGUGAACCAGCGGAGGGAUCAUUACAGAGUUGCAAAACUCCCAACCAUUGUGAACCUACCUCACCGUUGCCUCGGCGGGUGGCCCCCACCAGGGCCGCGCCGGCCCCACCGGCCGGCAACCCGUCAGAGGACCGCAACUCUUAGUCAUCAUUGGCCUCUCUGAGUAACUUAUACAAUAAGUCAAAACUUUCAACAACGGAUCUCUUGGUUCUGGCAUCGAUGAAGAACGCAGCGAAAUGCGAUACGUAAUGUGAAUUGCAGAUUUCAGUGAAUCAUCGAAUCUUUGAACGCACAUUGCGCCCGCCAGUAUUCUGGCGGGCAUGCCUGUUCGAGCGUCAUUUCAACCAUCAAGCGCCCCGCUUGUGUUGGGGCCCUGCGGCUGCCGCAGACCCCUAAAUCCAGUGGCGGGCUCGUCGUCGUACCGAGUGCAGUAAACAUCCUCGCUCAGGGCACGCGCCGGGUCUCUUGCCGUGAAACACCCCACAUAUCAAGGUUGACCUCGGAUCAGGUAGGAAUACCCGCUGAACUUAAGCAUAUCAAUAAGCGGAGGAA
This 583-nucleotide ribosomal RNA is filed under the name Schizothecium curvisporum. Its description in RNAcentral is "eukaryotic LSU rRNA". The stretch from base 216 to 369 matches the Rfam family "5.8S ribosomal RNA". The record is from RNAcentral. Lineage: Eukaryota; Fungi; Ascomycota; Sordariomycetes; Sordariales; Schizotheciaceae.